CCUCCUUUGGACUUCAGCAGGGCUUCAGGGGAAGACGAAAGCCUGGGGAGAGUGCUGUGCAGUAGAGUGAAAACAGAGAGCUGGUGAGAGAGGAGAUCAGAAUAAAUAUAGUGUGGGUUACCGCACGUACGUAAGUAGGACAGUGCCAGUGCUAGCCAAGCUGCUCCGGUGGCACCGCAGAUCUCUCGAGAUGUUUGCAUGACAGCUCCUUUCCAUACUGCUACGGGAGGUGCAGCGCCAAGUGGCAGACAGACACACUCAAUCCAGGAAGUUUGAACAUGGAAGUGCUUGGGGAGAGGCGGCGCAGGAGAUCCCACCCAUCCCACAUGGUGGUGCCCUGCCCUGCCACCAUCGAAGCAUCCUUGUUCCCUUCAUGCUUGGAAAACCAGACAUACCAAAGGUGUUCCCCAGAGACUUCUGCGAUGCUUCCUCUUGCAGCCUUGGCGUACUUUGAGGAUUAGAAGCUGCCACAGGUUAAACCAUGCGAGUUAAGGCACGUAACACAGCCAGCAUACAACGCAGAUACACAAUGAUGGGCAGAGGUACGAAGCUGG
Molecule: long non-coding RNA, 554 nt
Filed under: Anser brachyrhynchus (Pink-footed goose)
Lineage: Eukaryota; Metazoa; Chordata; Aves; Anseriformes; Anatidae
Description: lncRNA (ENSABRG00000006525.1)
Source: RNAcentral